RNAcentral lists this ribosomal RNA (491 nucleotides) under uncultured bacterium. Its description in RNAcentral is "partial 16S ribosomal RNA". It matches the Rfam family "Bacterial small subunit ribosomal RNA", at positions 28 to 507 of the family's 1533-position model. The record is from RNAcentral.
GAUGAACGCUAGCUACAGGCUUAACACAUGCAAGUCGCGGGGCAGCAUGGGGGUUGCUUGCAACCCCUGAUGGCGACCGGCGCACGGGUGAGUAACGCGUAUCCAACCUGCCCUUCACCACGGGAUAACCCGGCGAAAGUCGGACUAAUACCGUAUGUUGUCCAUUGACGGCAUCCGAUUUGGACGAAAGGCUUGGCGGUGAAGGGAUGGGGAUGCGUCCGAUUAGCUUGACGGCGGGGUAACGGCCCACCGUGGCUACGAUCGGUAGGGGUUCUGAGAGGAAGGUCCCCCGCACUGGAACUGAGACACGGUCCAGACUCCUACGGGAGGCAGCAGUGAGGAAUAUUGGUCAAUGGGCGUAAGCCUGAACCAGCCAAGUAGCGUGCAGGAUGACGGCCCUAUGGGUUGUAAACUGCUUUUAUGCGGGGAUAAAGUGGCCCACGUGUGGGCUUUUGCAGGUACCGCAUGAAUAAGGACCGGCUAAUUCCGUG